GAAUAAAGAGGGGAGGACACAGCAGAAGAGAAUUCAGUUGAACUCAGCCAUGAGCAUGCCGUGACUCACUUGUGAAUCUUCAGCGAACGACACAGCCAGCAUGCCGACGGGGACGUACUCUCCACACAUAGAACUGUGAGGACGUGAUUCACGUUCGCGCUGUGAUUCGGUCAUGAUUCGCGAACCUACCGCACACAGAGAACUGUCACUGAGGACGUGCUUCUUGUUCACAGGUUCAUUGAGAAGCUGGGCCAAGCUUCUCAUUCAGCGGAGUGGCUGACACACAUUCAUCUGCAGCAGGUUGACAAUUUGGGCAUACUCAUAAGCCCUGCCCUCCACAUUACCUGCUGUCAUUUGAUUUCAUCAGUUAGAUGUGCUACAUGACUCAUGUGUCCCUUCACUCAAACUACCAGUGUUUCCUGCUCCAGCCAUCCAGCUCUCCGCAUCUUCGCAGCCAGCAGCCUUACCCUAUGCUCACCGGAGUCUCAACCCACCAUGCCACUGUGAGCUACCACACCUCCUUCUCAUUCCUUCAAGAUGCAGAAUCUGCCUGGGACUCUCUACAUCUUUACCUGCGAAUCCCUUGUUAAGUCAAUAAAUUACCUUCUACCCUACUUCCUGCCUCAUUAUCCGCUAUUGGG
This is a long non-coding RNA of Acanthopagrus latus (yellowfin seabream), 641 nucleotides long. RefSeq lists it as uncharacterized. Lineage: Eukaryota; Metazoa; Chordata; Actinopteri; Spariformes; Sparidae. The record is from RefSeq and is a predicted model, not a curated record. The transcript is spliced from 4 exons.